GCGGGAAUCGAACCCACAACGUUCCGCUUACCGGGCAGAUGCCAUGUCCACUAGGCU
RNAcentral lists this transfer RNA (57 nucleotides) under Cordylochernes scorpioides. Its description in RNAcentral is "tRNA-Thr". The record is from RNAcentral. Lineage: Eukaryota; Metazoa; Arthropoda; Arachnida; Pseudoscorpiones; Chernetidae.